Molecule: long non-coding RNA, 3082 nt
Organism: Chinchilla lanigera (long-tailed chinchilla)
Lineage: Eukaryota; Metazoa; Chordata; Mammalia; Rodentia; Chinchillidae
Exons: 6
Source: RefSeq, a predicted model, not a curated record
UAAAAAAAUGCCAUCUGCAGAGGUGGGGUGAGUUUCUGUGUGCGGACUGCUCCGGAUGAGGGGGGCGCAAGAAGCAGAAAGGAGCCUCCCGUCUGCCACUGGCACCUCUUGUUCCUAGGGGAUGCUUGUGACCACUGUGUCCCAGUGAAGAUUGCUCCUCAGCCCAGCCUGUCCCUGGACAUCUGCACUCACCUUCCCCGGGCGGGUCCAGGACUCUGAGCGGGGCUGGCUGCUGACUCAGCAGCCCGGAGGCUCCCAGGACCUCCUAGAGGUAGAAGGGAAAGUGAGAAGUCAGAGGCAGCCAGGUGCUCAAAGGCAGGGGCCCUGCCUCAGCAGCUCCAUCUCCUAAGUCUCUUGCAGCUUGAGUUCAGAAAUGCCGUGGGGCCACUCAGGACUGCUGGCUUCUGCACCCAGCCUCAAGCCUCAGAACAUCCUUUCACAAUACUCAGACUUUAGAAUGCACCUGUGAAUGAUCAGAUGGAGACAACCUGCAUGUGUUAAGAACAAUCUUCUAGCAUCCAGUGCUUUACACACAUUAUGUCCUUUAAGCCAGAAACUCCAUGAAGCAAAGGCUAACAUCCUUUUGAAGGGAUGCGAGCUGAGGCAUGGUGAUAGGAAGCUUUGCAACUGGGAGAGUGCACCUGACAUUUGAGUCCAGUGUGAACCCAAGGAGCCUCCCUCAGACCCUGUCCUCUCCUAGGAUGAGGGGGUCUCGGGCCUCUCGCACGGAAAGGACAUCAGGACCUGGGAGGAGCCCAGGGCCACCGCCCUCUAACAGGCAGAGGCUUGGAGCAAGAAACACUCAGAACUGCUCUGCCAAGCACUGCAGGACUCUGAGAUCACUUAUCCCCCAGCUGGGGAAGAUCAGUGCUGGUCCCAGCACCUCCCCUCACCAGGGGUGCUACUUCUGUCCUAGCCUAGUCCCCUGGGACAGGAGUUACCACUGCUGUGAGUUCCCUCAGCUCCUCCUGCAGCUGGCCCUGUUCCUGGCCAGCUCCUUCCUCUCAAGCUGCUCUGACUACAGGCUGCUUGUCAUGUUGAUGUUGUCUUUUCUCUACAGACAAUGGUAGUCAGUGCCACCCACACAGCCAGACCCAGGACCCCAAUUUGAUUGUCCAUAGUUCAGGGCAGGAUGGACAAUCAACCCUGUCACCAGAAGAUGCUCCAGCAGCAUUCUGGCUCCCAGGACACCUUCACAAUGGAGGGCUACAGUGAUCCAUUAUAUUGGACUGGGAAGCACCCAGAGGGGCAAGUAUGAUGCUCCGCUGUGAAGGACCUAGCAGUGAGGAGCCCAGUGAUUGGAGGCCCCGCACCAGCCUUAGGAAGUCAAACUUCUUCUGGACCAGCUGCACCUUGAGCUCCUGGUUCUGCACGAAUAAGCAUCAGAUGGUAUUGUGCUGUUCUGGAUGUGCUGCAGGAUGUUCCUGUCCUCCUCCAGCUGUGGGGGCCACAGCUCUGCCUUGUAGUCCACAUGAUGCAGCUGCUCCUCCUGCUCUCAGUUCUUCUCACACAGACUCGGAUUUACCUGUACUUGUUGUGGAACUGUCCUGAGAUGAGUUCCAGCUCCUUCUGCAACCACUAGAGCUCACACAACAGCCACCGUUCCUCCUCAGAUGGCCCCGCUGAGGGCUCCAGGGCUGGGGGCACAGGCGCUGCAUGAUGGUCCUCUGCUCCUCUUCCCUUGAGACCCAGAGCUCUGCCUUGACCUCCACCUGUCUCAGCCACUUCUGUGAUCCAGACCUGCCCCUCUGUUGGAUGGCACUCGGGAGCAAUGUUCCCCAGAGUUUUGGUCACACCUUGGAAAGACAUUCAUGAAAGAGAACUUUCAGACAUACUUCAGAAAGUGGCAAGGACUAUGGAAUAAAUACAGUCAAGGCCAGAGGAGGACUAUUUUGAGGAAUGCUAUUUUUGUGCUGUUGGGGAUGCAAAUAUAAAAGUUUCAUGAACACACCCGUUUGGAGGCGGCAGAUCCUUCUUAAAGAAAAACAUGGAAUCCCAUCUUCUAGACAGAGAAAGUGGCUGGGCAGAAGGCUAGCAGGGCCCCAACGGCUGCAGCACCCACGGUGCGGCUGGAGGUCAGGGGAAGAGAAGGUGCUUGGUGGCGGCGAUGUUCCAUGGCCCAGAGCCUGCGCCACAAGUUGCUGAGGCCGGGUUGAAGGCCAGGAAGAGCGCAGGUGCAGGACAUCUAGUGCAGCUUUGGGAGGGAGCUGAGGACCGGCCUCCACAGGAGCGCGGAGCGGUUUAGGAGGCGCCUGGUCCCGCAAGGAGAAGCAGAAACGCCAAGUUGCUGAAGAAGAGCUGGCUGGAGGCAGAGAAGCCAUGGCAAGGCCAAGCUCAGCUACAUCACCCUGGGACACCUCGGACCAUGGGGAAGACACACCAGAACAUCAAGGGCAGCUGGGACAGCACGGAGGAGGCACUGGCCCACCAGCAGCACUCUGAGGACUAAAUGCAGGUCUGCAGCCCCACCCCUGAGGGUGUCACUGCCUUCUGAGCCUCCUGCUGCCCUCAGCUUCCCUCGCAGCUGUGUGCCCCAGGAAAGCAGGAGCCACAGUGUCCUUGACUGCAGCUGAGAAGAUCAUUUCCUGAGAAGGAGAGGAGGCAGGCAGCACCAGGUCUGGGGACCCAAAGGUGGUGGCAGCCAGGCCAGCUUUUGUUGAGGAACAGUCAGCAGCAGCUUGAGGAGGGAAGGUUCAGAGCAGUGGAACAGUGACUCAUGUACAGGCUGGACUCUCUCUCUGGAACCUGGAAGAAGCCCAGGUGGAUGUCAGUGAGGACCCAGACACCCCAAAGCAGGAGAUCCAAGAGGUGAGGGACACGGUCAGCACCAGGUCAGACACUGGCUUUCUGCACAGGAGUGAGCCUUCAUUGUAUGCUUUUGGCGGGAUGAGAAGUUUCACGGAUUAGAGACUUUCCUCCUCUGGGCCCAUGCUUUAAAGACCCUCAGCAGACCCUGGACAUGCUCACAGCCUUCAAGGCCACUGACCGUGGCAUCCAGCAGGCGCUACAGGAUGGCUUGGCUGGGGACGGGGUCAAUGUGGACCCCCAUGGAGGAAGAUUCUAAUCCUGUCUGCUGUCAACU